GCCAGAAGGGUCGACCGUUGUCCGGAGUCACUGGGCGUAACGCGCGCGCAGGCGGCAACCUAAGUGUCGUGUGAAAGCCCCCGGCUCAACCGGGGGAGGCCAUGGCAAACUGGGUCGUUCGAGCUGCGGAGAGGCCCCUCGAAUUCCCGGUGUAGCGGUGAAAUGCGUAGAGAUCGGCAGGAAGACCAAGGGGGAAGCCAGGGGGCUGGCCGCAGGCUGACGCUGAGGCGCGACAGCGUGGGGAGCAAACCGG
RNAcentral lists this ribosomal RNA (253 nucleotides) under uncultured bacterium. RNAcentral describes it as "partial 16S ribosomal RNA". It matches the Rfam family "Bacterial small subunit ribosomal RNA", at positions 524 to 776 of the family's 1533-position model. The record is from RNAcentral.